Long non-coding RNA from Triticum aestivum (bread wheat), 1202 nucleotides. RefSeq lists it as uncharacterized. NCBI's taxonomy places the organism in Eukaryota, Viridiplantae, Streptophyta, Magnoliopsida, Poales, Poaceae. The record is from RefSeq and is a predicted model, not a curated record. The transcript has 10 exons.
UGCAAUUGAGGCCGAUGACACGGGGAAGGAGCUACAGGGGAGGGGGAGGAGGCCGAUGUCAGGGGGAAGGAGAAGGCCGGCUCGGAUGCAUGGUGCGAGGCAGUAAUAGCGGCAGUGGAUCGAGAGAAGUGGAGAAGAGGGUUCCUCCAAGCUCCAUCCAUGAAUGGCGCCGGUCCAAUGCUCAGGGUGGCAUGCGGCAAUGUCGGGGACCAGCGAGGAAGAUGACCGGUGUACAUCCUUUGGGAUAAAGUUGAAGACAUGGUGAGUCUUGUGGCGCGAAGCCAACAACACGCAGCGGCAAGUCGAGCACACUGGCCUGAGCCGCACACCAACACCAUCAGGAGUUCGAAUUAUUCUGUACCUCAAGAGAGAGGAACAACGGACAUUGAGGAUUGCGGUGGCUGAUUUUUUAAUUUGUGUUUGCCUCAAGGAUUCUCAUUUAUCUUAACUUCCAUUUACUCAAGACAAUUACAACAUUGCUUCAUGACGAAGUAAAAUAAAAGCUUAUGACAGAAGAAACUUGCUUCGAUAGGCGUCCUUGUCGACCUCGCAAUUUCCAACCCAUCCUUAGGUACCAUCAGCUAUGACCCUAAUGGACCCCGAAUAAAAAGGAGAAAACAUUUGACACUUAUCAUGGCCAACCAUGAAACCGUGUUUCAGAAACUGCAUCAUAGCACAUAUUUCAACAAUCGUUUCCUGGUUUGUAAUAUGUACUAGCCUUCUGAAAAAGACUGAGGCUGCACUUGUUCCUGUCAGGUUGUCAUGUUACAAAAAGGCCUAUCUACAAAUAGGUGGACAAGAUAAAACAUUAAAAAUAGACUAGAGCACUUUCCAUCUCCAUUGAUAAGAAUUAGUGGCAUGAUUGAAGGGCGAGACUACCAGCUGGUGAAGGAGAGGAUAUGUAUUCGGCGUGUCCUGAAGAGGUAGUCCACGAACCGGCAAUGGAGGAAAUAAGGUAGAGAUGGCAAUAGCAGCAAGUACGUCAAGCGCUAGGGAUGUGGAUAUGGUGUGGCAUAAAGAGGUAGUCCACAAACCUCUGCUAGGUGCUCCUCUCUCACUUCUUGCAUCCUCUGGGGAUAUUCCUUCAUUAUUUGGUUACCUGUCAAUGCUCGGUCCUAUUUCCCACCUUGUGCUUUGACUUCUUGCAUUUUUUCCGUCUAAGUUAUUAGGCUACUGCUGCCUGGUUUGCCCAUGAUGAACCA